AUUAUUUGAAGAAACCAAUUGUAAUGCAAUUCAACACAGUACCACUGAUCAAAUUACUCCUUCCAAAGACAGCAGCUGGGAAUAUUUACUAUGGAAAUAUCUGUCUUUAGAAUGAUUUCUAAAAUCAAAUUGCUGUAAACAUAACCAAGAAUUAUGAAGACUGUGUCUGUCAGGAACACCUCUUGAGUUACCUAAUUUCAUUGUUGGAGGAGGUCACUGAGAGGACAUGGCUGCCAGUUGACUUUUGAGCUGGACCUGGACAGUCAGAGGCUCCUUACCCCCUCCCCUGGAGGCAUGAGAAGCUGCUCCAAAGACACAGCCUUGAGACAGUAAUGUGUUGAGACCAUCGAGAUGGUAUACAUGAUUGAACCCAGUCACAGAGUGAAAUGCUGCCAAGUUUGGUGAAUAUAUAUGCUCAGCCUCUUUUGAGUGACAAGUGUGUAAAUGAGGCCAUCUUGUGAAAAAUAUGUAAACCUCUUAUUUGCAUCUGGACCAUUUGUUAACUGUUUGGAUUACCAAUUCAAGGCAGGGGAGAAGCAGAUCCUGAUACAAGGAUUCAGAUACAAGGUUACCUGGGAGGUGAUCCCAGGAGACACUGGUGUGGAGUGGAGAAUUAGGAUAGGCAAAGGAGGGCAGCUAAUGAAGCCGCAUAGGUGACCAGAGAGCUUCAGGACAGAGAACUUCCUACUUUGGACAACAGAUCUACAACAUUAGCUCAUCUCUGGAAAUAAAGCAAGGCAGGGUUGUUCUGAGAAAACAAUGCGAUGAUGUACCUGAAAGCUCUUGGAGAAGUUUCAAGUGUUAUGUAAAUGAAAGGAACGACGGUCGAGGGGUUGGGACGAAGGUGACUGGUGUGAUUCAGUCUGGUGGGACCGAUAGCCCAAGAGGAUCAGAACAUUGCUCAAGGUUUAAGUUAUUUCAAUAACGACUGACUCUACCUUUGAAUGAUGCUCAGCAAACAGGAAAACAGUGGGUGUCCCAUUUUGCCUUUUGCUUCUCAGUACCUUCAAGGGAUCAUGUCAUCAUUGCAUGACUCUCAAGACCAUGGUUCUUCAGAAACUGUUUUGGGAAAUUGUCUAUGGAAAGAACACUAAAAUCAGUAUCGAAAGGUGUAUGUUACAGUUAUGACUUCACAGUUUACUCGACUGACUUUCCAGAAGAUUUGAACAAUUUCAAGGCUAAUGAAGAAGAGAAAACCCAUUCUGCCAUUUGAACUCUGCAAACAGCACCUCAGGAAAGGCUUGAUUGUCACCUUGUUCUCUCCCUGGGAGGCAGGGAUGGAGAACCUGGCUGAGAUGUAAUGCUCAGCCUCUGCAGUCACGUCUGUCCCACAACAUACCAGAGAAACUGUGCUAGUGGGAGCGACGGUCUGGCCCUGCCCGUCUGCAGGGGGGCAGCAUCGGGUUAACUUCUUAAAAUCCCUGGUGUUGGAAAUGGACCUGCAGGAACUUCAUAAAGAUAGGUAUAAUCUAGGGCAGAAACACUAAGAGGAGUUCAAAUUAAAGAAAUGACAUGAAAUUACAUUUCUUAAGGAGGGAAAUAACAUUCAGGAACAUUAAAUGAUUUAAUUAUGCUUGACAGAGCUUUUGGAGCUAAAAAUGCAGCAGAAGCAAAGUGUGUUGAGAUAUAAAGUUUGAGAGAGCAGCCGUAAGAAAAAUCUUGAAAGCAGAGUAUGUAAUCAUCCAUAGCCGCAUGGAGGGCAAAGAAGACCCUCCAUUAACAUUCAUUUUGCUUUUUCUAGGACAAGGACUCGGAAGAACAGAGCAAUAUUUUUUGUGUAGUUUUGAGGCUUAAUUAUCUCUGGUGGAGAUACUGUUAAGUCUUAAGAUUCUCCAACUUACUAGUUCUCAAAUAUGUUGAUGUACAUUUAACAUAUAGCAUGAAAAGCAGCCAGUAGUUCUUCUGGCUUCCCUGGACACACAUAUAAAACAUGACCACCGUCAGAACCAACUGAUUGUUGCUAUGAGAGCAAACACUCGCUGUUAUUAAUACUUGGAAACUUUUACGUGUAGGUAUAAUACAGCUUAUUUGUGUGUUCAGAUUGUUAUGAAUACAUAUGCGGGGACACUCCAUACAUGCCAGUAUUUACUAUAUAGUCUCACUGUGUUUGGAAAAGGGUCAUGGGCAUAUUGCCCCCCAAAUGUUUCUCUAGCAAUGGACCAGCAUCCUGAAUGGAAUCUAUGAUUUAAAUAGAUUCUUGAGGCACCUCUGCCUCCUCCGGUUCCAGUUCUAAACUUUAAACAGAAUGCAAAAUGGUCCGAGUGGAACGGGAUGCAAAGUCCCCCUGACUGAACAGUUCCUGGUAUGGUGCAAAUUUUCUUUUAUGGUGCCAAUUAGUGUCUGACUUGUCUUUUUGCCAUGUGACGAAUUAAAAAUGCAUGAUUUGGAUGCCGGAAAGCUAACCAGCUUCUGGAUAGAAUCCCCUGGACACUGCCAUUCUUCCAGUUGAUCCUUUUGCCCUCCCUGUGUUGGCAAGUACCGCCUCGUUCGCCCACUGCUUACAUCUUUCCCUAACAGAUGGUUCUUUUUACUAGUCAAGAUCCAAUCUGGUGAUUUACUUUAAUAUGCCUUGGCCUAAAGAAUACCCAUGACAGACAGCUAGCACAGCCUCCCGAAGCAAAAUUUUGCAAAGAAAAAAGUUAAGUAGACACAUGCUAUCUAGACUGCAUUCCAUUUUAUGCACCCCAUAAAUCAGAAUAUUUGUCAACAACAAUUAAAAUGUAGUUUCCCUGGUAAUAAACAUUACAGGGAGGAACAAAUCAAGUUUCAUUUAUUCUGUCAGAAACCGAAGGCGAGCGCUUCAUAUUAUUUUGUGGAUAAUCUCUGAGGAGUAAACUAAGCACAAUUACAUUCUUGAUUUUAAUUAAAACUCUGGGUACCUUUCAAGUUCCGUUAGGGAGAUGUCCUGGGUCUGCUUAGCUGAGGUCUGCACUGCAAAGUUAAUUUGACAUACAACAUAUUUUUCAUGAGGUAACUGUCGCAGGAAGCUGUUUGUAAGAGCAGCCUCUCCAGUGCCUGUGGGCCCCACAAAAAGUAAUGACUUCUCCUGAAGCAGCAACUUCGCCAGGAAGUACAUCUGCAUAACAGUCCCCGAAGCCCUCCCAAUAAUGUCAUUAAGCUGGAAAAAAAUCAAAGGAAAAGGCGCCCAAAAGAUGCUGUUAAACAUGUUUCAUUACUUACUGUACACAGAACAACAAUAGAACCGAGUCAUGGAAUCAUUUCAAAUCACGGUAAAAGGGGAAGCAUCCCCCAAUCCCUGGAACGGUGGCAGAGGCAGAGGCCAUGGGGUGUGAGUUGGCCCUGAGACCCCGGGAGGGCCACCGUGGAAGGCCCGCGUUCCCGCCGCUGUCUGUGAGGACCCUGUUCUUCAGGACUGGGCCUGACUCUCCACCCUCAGCCAUUAGUUUUUGUGGCUUCUGAUCUGCUGAUUUUCUACUUGGCCCCUGUUUUCCACUUAUUUCUACAAGGUAGUGAGCAGAACUGCAAUGAGGGUGCUGCCUAGCACGAGCUAUGCUGUGAGGGGCAGGUGGGGGGGUUGGCCUGUCAAGGGGAGAGGCCUCACACAUGGCCCCUUUUCCCGCUCUUCACUGUCAUCCACCACCUCACCCAUCCUACCCAGGAUUUCCCUCCACUGGAGUCUGAAAAGUAGAUGCUCCUCCAGGGCGUGACUUAAAAUCAUGGCAGAUCUGAGUUACUAUCGGCCUUUGGAGACCGUCUUCUCCAGCUGGUCUGUUAAUUCACAGAUGGUGAGGCUCAAGCAGGAAAAGAGAAAUAGCAGCUUUUGUUGGUCUCUCCAGCCACACAUAUUCAUUGCCACCUUUGACUCCGAAGGGGCACUGGAUUUAUACUUUCAUGUGGAGCUUUUCAAUUCCAAGCAGUGAUUGCUGUUGUAGUGAUCUUUAUCACAUUACAUAAUCAUAUUAUUAUCUAGAUUUAUGAUACUGUGCAUUAGAUCCGUAUGACUCAUUACAUGUCUAUGCCUUUCAACACCAUCAGUCGUAUCCCCCCACCUCCAUCCACUGGUGACUACCGCUUUGCUUUCUUUUUUUUACAGCUUUGAAUUUUUUAGAUUCUGCAUAUAAAUGAUAUCAUAUUUGCCUUUCUCUGUCUCACUUCUCUCACUUAGCAAAAUGUGCUCCAAGUCCAUCCAUAGUGCCCCAAAUGGCAGGAUAUCUUCCUUUCUCGUGGCUGAAUAACAUUCCACAUAAUGAUAUUUGUUACUAUUAAUAACUCAAAAGCCUGACGAUGAAGGAUGUGUGAAUAGGUGUCCUGUGUCCACCAUUUAGUAUACAUUCCUGAUUUCUGGUCUUAAGUUCUUGACAUGAACCAUCUUUAACACUCAUACUAAUCUUCUAAAGAAGUAAGUAUUAUAAACCCUACUUUUCAGAUUAGCAAACAGAAAUGCAGGGAGUUUUAAGCAAGUUGCCAGAAGUAACACAACUGCUAAAUGCUGGCCAAAGCAGCGCUCCAGCCGGGGGCAUGCCAAGGUCAGCGUUGCGUGCUGAACUGUAUCGUGGAGGGGAGUAAGAUGCUUGGUUUGGACGGUUAAAGCUUAGAGAGGAAUGGGAAAAUGGCAGGCUAGUACUGGGCUUUCAACUGGAAGGACAGGACCCUAUGUUAUAACAGAUGGGUAAGAGGUCCCCCCCCGCCCUUUCAGGGAGACCCAUUUUCCUUCAGCUUCUUAUUGCUCUUAACUUAUUCUCAAUACAGUCUUAGCACUGGGUCCCAGAGAAUAGGAGCUCAACAAUCAUCUGCUGAAUAAAGAAAAGAAAUGACCACAGACGGGCGAUGCAGUGCUUAUUCCCUCAUUACUAACCUCACCUCUUACUGCCAACAUUCCAAUGAGGACUUUUUUAGCCACAAAUGUAUCUUCCCUUCCUAACUUCCCCAAGUUUCUGAAGGCUUGUUUAUAUCACUGUCUUUCCAGGACUUAUUUUGAAACUGUGGACUUCUUUCGCAAAUAUAGAAAUCCUCAGUAAAGUUGGCAUUUAUCCUCUGAGUUGGUGUUGAGCAGGGAAGGGAAAUAAAUAAACACAAAAACCAAAGCCCACUUAGACCAGCCACCUACAGUAAUUGCUAUACUUUAUGUAUUUCCCUGAUUAACUUCUUUUCACGAGAUUUUGAUCAUCAAGAGAACAUAGGGCCUGAUAUCAAGAUGGGUAGGAAGAAAAGAGAGAAAAAAAAUUAAUCUUAAAUGUUACCAACCACACACACACACACACACACACACACAAGGGCAAUUAUGUGAGGGGAUGGAGAUGUUAACAAACUUUAUUGUGGUAAUCAUUUUGCAAUAAACUCGCGUAUAAAAUCUUUAUGUUGUACACCUUAAACUUACAUAUGUUAUGUGACAAUAGCAUCUCAAUAAAGCUGGGGGAAAAAAGUACCAUAAUGAAUACACACUGCUACCUUUUGAUGGAUAGUUAAGCUAUUUCUUAGUACCUGUGUGUUUGUUUUGAUUAUGAUCGGAAAGUAGCAAAGAGCAUCCUGUACACAUAGCUUUGCAAAUCUGUAUGAGUUAAUUUAUGAAAUAAAUUCAUACAAGUAAAAAACCAAAAACCAAAAAACCCAAACCAAAAAUUGGGUAGGUGAUACCCCAGGUAGUAUUUACACACAAGAAUUUCCUUUGACUUGCUGUAUUCUGCAAAUUUACCAAACCUUAGUAGCAGAAGCUGCAUGUGGCCAAUGGAAAGAAUCCCGGCUAAGCUGAGAUUCUGGAAUAUUCAGCAACUACUGGCACUGUUGCAAAGUCCUUUAUUUCUUUUGGGGGGCCCUCCUUUGGAUUUACUAACUCUAGGACAUCAAAUGGCUUGAAAGAGUUAAUGCAAUUCUUUGUCAAUCUCUCUUACUGAGGCUCAGCUUUCUCAUUUGUAAAAAGGGCUAUUAUGGUCUGAGUGUUUGUGUUCCUUCCAAAUUCAUGUGUUGAAAUCCUAAUGGCCAAUAUGAUGGUAUUAUGAGGUGGAGCCUCUCGGAAGUGCUUAGUUCUUGAGGCUGGGGCUUUAUGGAUGGGAUUAGGGUAGAGCUCCUAGCCACAUUGGCCACGUGAGGCUACAGAGAAAAGAUAGCCCUCACCUGA
Canis lupus familiaris (dog) is the source of this 6076-nucleotide long non-coding RNA. RefSeq lists it as uncharacterized. The transcript is spliced from 10 exons. Lineage: Eukaryota; Metazoa; Chordata; Mammalia; Carnivora; Canidae. The record is from RefSeq and is a predicted model, not a curated record.